UACGUAGGGGGCAAGCGUUGUCCGGAAUCAUUGGGCGUAAAGCGCGUGUAGGCGGCUCAGUAAGUCCGCUCUGAAAAGCCCGGGGCUUAACCCCGGGAGGCGGGUGGAUACUGCUGAGCUUGAGUCCGGAAGAGGCGAGUGGAAUUCCCGGUGUAGCGGUGAAAUGACGCCAGAUAGUCGGGAGGAACACCAAUGGCGAAGGCAGCUCGCUGGGACG
RNAcentral lists this ribosomal RNA (217 nucleotides) under uncultured bacterium. RNAcentral describes it as "partial 16S ribosomal RNA". It matches the Rfam family "Bacterial small subunit ribosomal RNA", at positions 524 to 736 of the family's 1533-position model. The record is from RNAcentral.